GCUAUACCACUUUGUCAAUGGCGGAUUGUGUCUGAUCUCAGAAGCUAAGCAGGGUUGGGUCUAGUUAGUAUUUGGCGAGACCACUGGAAUACCAGGUGC
RNAcentral lists this ribosomal RNA (99 nucleotides) under Periophthalmus magnuspinnatus. Lineage: Eukaryota; Metazoa; Chordata; Actinopteri; Gobiiformes; Gobiidae. The record is from RNAcentral.